Molecule: RNA transcript, 742 nt
Organism: Sapajus apella (tufted capuchin)
Lineage: Eukaryota; Metazoa; Chordata; Mammalia; Primates; Cebidae
Gene name: nucleoplasmin-3 pseudogene
Exons: 2
Source: RefSeq, a predicted model, not a curated record
GGAAGAAGGCCCUUGCAGCAUGGCCGCCGGCACUGCAGCUGCCUUAGCGUUUUUGAGUCAGGAGAGCCGAACGCGGGCCGGGGGUGUCGGGGGCCCGCGAGUCCCGGCCCCGGUCACUAUAGACAGUUUUUUCUUCGGCUGUGAGCUCUCCGGCCACACCCGCUCCUUCACCUUUAAGGUAGAGGAAGAGGAUGAUGCAGAGCACGUGCUGGCAUUGACCAUGCUCUGCCUCACCGAGGGAGCCAAAGAUGAGUGUAAUGUGGUAGAAGUUGUGGCCUGGAACCAUGACCAUCAGGAGAUCACAGUCCCUGUGGCCAACCUCAAGCUGUCCUGCCAACCCGUGCUCAGCCUGGAUGAUUUCCAGCUCCAACCACCUGUAACUUUCCUCCUGAAGUCGGGUUCCGGCCCUGUGCGGAUCACUGGGCGGCACCAGAUUGUUACGAUGAGCAAUGAUAUUUCUGAGGAGGAGAUCGAGGAAGAGGAAGAGGACAGUGAGGAGGAGGAAGCUGAGCUGUGCCCCAUCCUUCCUGCCAAAAAGCAGAGGGGCAGGCCCUAGCCCUCCUUGGACCUUGGUUUUCUGGUCUUGCACCAUGCCUGGGGCCUCUCUUCCUACCUGCCUGUGGGGAUUGGAGGUUGGUGCCUGAAGCUCAGAACUACACAUUUUUAACACUUUUUACAUUUUUGGAUAAAGGUUGAAAUAAAGUGGUGUGGGAUUUUUGCAAAAAAAAAAAAAAAAAAAAAA